RNA transcript from Helianthus annuus (common sunflower), 1980 nucleotides. RefSeq lists it as uncharacterized. The transcript is spliced from 5 exons. Lineage: Eukaryota; Viridiplantae; Streptophyta; Magnoliopsida; Asterales; Asteraceae. The record is from RefSeq and is a predicted model, not a curated record.
UAUAUGCUUUAUGUUAUUGUACAAUAGCUCUUCAAUAUGUUCUGAGACAUGCAGAUACAAAGGGAAAGGGAGGAAAGAGAGAGAGCAGCAAGAGAGAGAAACAGAGAUGCAGAACGGCGAGUCACCAACGACCGGCUCCAAACGCAUGCUCGCCUCCCACUUACAGAAUAGAAGUCGUCAAGUCUAGGGUUUUCCGGUGAAAAUUCGAGGGUUCAGAGGUGGUAGUGGCGAGUUCCGACUGAAGUAGUGGCGAACCUUUGCGAACGGAGGCUAUAGAGGAAAACGAACAGAGCCUUGUGAGUUGGGUAAAUCUUUUGCAAUCAAUCAAGUGACACGAGAUUGGGCAGGCAAAACCAAAUCUCUCUGAUCAAAAUGUUAUACUGGUGUUUGUUGUGGGAGGCAUGAAUGGCAUUGAGGUACUUGAAGCUCAAGAGGCAUUAUCUGAAAGCGGAAGAGUGGAUGUAGAAGUUGUUCUUGGCGGAACGACCUUUUUAACUCUGCCGAUAUGCUUGAUAAGGAGAGUGGUCCCUCUAGAUGGGAGAUUUGAGCACGUAGUUCUCUUUUGCACUUCUACUCCCGACCACGCCAUCAUUUGGAUAGACAGGGAAGUCAAAAGGGCUUUAGAUCUAUAUUCCAGAAGAGAUGAGAACCCCACCUCUUUUAAAAGUCAGUGUCUCACACAAUACAUUCUUUGAUACAAAUAUUUUUAUCCUCUGUUUUAAAGAUCAACAAUUCUUGCAAACAAGGAUGCUUCAAGACCCACAACACCGUCAACAACUGCAGGAUAUGAUGUAAAAAGCUGGAAAAAAACGAAGAAAAUAACAUUUAUGUUGAGAUAUAAUGACGAAGGGGCAACAAAACUGCCGGAUGAUAAGGAAGGUGAAUACAAAAGUGUUAAACGAAAAGCCAAAAAAGGUUGGUUAUUAGUCAAUGAUGCUGUUGGUAGUAUAUGCACACGUGCAUCAAAUUGUUACUUUCAUUUUGAACGAUGUUGUUUGAUGUCAUGUGCAAUUUUUGCAGGAGAAAUAAAUACAAGGAAUAGGACAAGUAAAAAGCACGAUGUUGUUUGAUUUGUUGAGUGUUAGGGUCUUUUAUUGAAGCAAACCUGUUGAUAAGGUCCAUCAUGUUAAUGCACAUGUGCAUAGCUUUACACAUAUGCAUAUCUUGUCAGAUUAGUUUAAUAAGGUCAAUCAUAUUGAUGCAUAUGUGUAUAAUUACGCACAUGUGAAUAAUUUGCUAUAAUAGGUUAAUAAUGUCAUGUAGUUUGCCAGAAUAUGUUAACAAUGUCAUUUAUAAUGAUGGACAUGUGCAUAGUUUGACAGAAUAGAUUGGUUACUAAUUAAUGUUAAAUAUGAUUGGUCGUAGUAAUACGAAAUUUGAUUUGGUAAGGGUUAGUUUUUUACUGAAGCAAACCUACUGAUUAGGUCAGUCAUGUUACUGCACAUGUGCAUAUUUAUGCACAUAUGCAUAUUUUGUCAGAUUAAGUUAAUAUGAAUGUAUUACGGCAUAUGCACAAGUACAUUAUUACUUUAAAACAUAAACAUUGUACAUAUUGUAUGUAAAAUGUUUAUUGCACAUGUGCAUACAUGAAACAAUUGAUGUACUAUAUGUAAUGUAUGCAGGAAAAAUAUAUUCAAAACUGCUCAUGGAUUGACAACAAGGACAUAUUUGAUGAAUAGGUUGACAUCUCGGAAAAUGAUAGACUAAGAGGCGUUGAAACAGUAGGAGUGUUGGAAGAUGCUUAGUAAAUGGAAAGACGAGCAGAAGGUGUGAGGUUGUGAACUAAUGCAAAUGUUAUGUGUAGGUAGUUUGUGGACAUGGAAUACAAAAGAUAAUGUUUGUUAAUAUAUGAUGUAUUAUGUUGUUUGGUAGAGAAAAUUUUGGUACUACACAUGUGCAAAGAUUGAUAUAGCAUACAUAUUCGUAUUGUUGUAUUGUAUAAUGUAUUACAAUGGUUAUAUUUGUUAAUUUAGGAUGUAA